This is a non-coding RNA of Acanthosepion pharaonis, 114 nucleotides long. Lineage: Eukaryota; Metazoa; Mollusca; Cephalopoda; Sepiida; Sepiidae. The record is from the annotation of a GenBank genome assembly.
CUACGGCCAUAUUACGUUGAAACAUCAGUUUCCGCGCGGUCACAAAAGUUAAGCAACGUCGAGCCUGAUCAGUCCCUAGAUAGGUGACUGCUUGGGAAUACCAGGUGCUGUAAG